RNAcentral lists this ribosomal RNA (778 nucleotides) under uncultured Moraxella sp. RNAcentral describes it as "bacterial SSU rRNA". It matches the Rfam family "Bacterial small subunit ribosomal RNA", at positions 557 to 1332 of the family's 1533-position model. Lineage: Bacteria; Pseudomonadati; Pseudomonadota; Gammaproteobacteria; Moraxellales; Moraxellaceae. The record is from RNAcentral.
GGCGUAAAGCGAGUGUAGGUGGCUCAUUAAGUCACAUGUGAAAUCCCCGGGCUUAACCUGGGAACUGCAUGUGAUACUGGUGGUGCUAGAAUAUGUGAGAGGGAAGUAGAAUUCCAGGUGUAGCGGUGAAAUGCGUAGAGAUCUGGAGGAAUACCGAUGGCGAAGGCAGCUUCCUGGCAUAAUAUUGACACUGAGAUUCGAAAGCGUGGGUAGCAAACAGGAUUAGAUACCCUGGUAGUCCACGCCGUAAACGAUGUCUACUAGCCGUUGGGGUCCUUGAGACUUUAGUGGCGCAGUUAACGCGAUAAGUAGACCGCCUGGGGAGUACGGCCGCAAGGUUAAAACUCAAAUGAAUUGACGGGGGCCCCGCACAAGCGGUGGAGCAUGUGGUUUAAUUCGAUGCAACGCGAAGAACCUUACCUGGUCUUGACAUAGUGAGAAUCUCUCAGAGAUGAGAGAGUGCCUUCGGGAACUCACAUACAGGUGCUGCAUGGCUGUCGUCAGCUCGUGUCGUGAGAUGUUGGGUUAAGUCCCGCAACGAGCGCAACCCUUUUCCUUAUUUGCCAGCGGGUUAAGCCGGGAACUUUAAGGAUACUGCCAGUGACAAACUGGAGGAAGGCGGGGACGACGUCAAGUCAUCAUGGCCCUUACGACCAGGGCUACACACGUGCUACAAUGGUAGGUACAGAGGGUUGCUACACAGCGAUGUGAUGCUAAUCUCAAAAAGCCUAUCGUAGUCCGGAUUGGAGUCUGCAACUCGACUCCAUGAAGUCGGAAU